GUGCUCGCUUCGGCAGCACGUACACUAAAAUUGGAACGAUACAGAGAAGAUUAGCAUGGCCCCUGCACAAGGAUGACACACAAAUUCGUGAAGCGUUCCAUAUUUUA
This 107-nucleotide small nuclear RNA is filed under the name Monodon monoceros (narwhal). The record is from RNAcentral. Lineage: Eukaryota; Metazoa; Chordata; Mammalia; Artiodactyla; Monodontidae.